Molecule: ribosomal RNA, 467 nt
Filed under: uncultured Aminicenantes bacterium
Lineage: Bacteria; Candidatus Aminicenantota
Description: bacterial SSU rRNA
Rfam family: Bacterial small subunit ribosomal RNA
Source: RNAcentral
GCACAAGCGGUGGAGCAUGUGGUUUAAUUCGACGCUACGCGAAGAACCUUACCUGGGCUUGAACUGCUGGUGGUAGAAGCCCGAAAGGGUAACGACCCGGAGCAAUCCGGGAGCCAGUAGAGGUGCUGCAUGGCUGUCGUCAGCUCGUGUCGUGAGAUGUUGGGUUAAGUCCCGCAACGAGCGCAACCCUUACCCUUAGUUGCCAGCGGGUAAUGCCGGGCACUCUAAGGGGACCGCCCCGGAUAACGGGGAGGAAGGCGGGGAUGACGUCAAGUCAGCAUGGCCUUUAUGUCCAGGGCUACACACGUGCUACAAUGGGCGAUACAGAGGGAAGCAAGGCCGCAAGGUAGAGCUAAUCCCUAAAGUCGUCCUCAGUUCGGAUUGCAGGCUGCAACUCGCCUGCAUGAGGUCGGAAUCGCUAGUAAUCGCGGAUCAGCUACGCCGCGGUGAAUACGUUCUCGGGCCUU